AAAGCAUGGGUAGCGAACAGGAUUAGAUACCUGGUAGUCCAUGCCGUAAACGAUGAGCGCUAAGUGUUGGAGGGUUUCCCCCUUCAGUGCUGCAGCUAACGCAUUAAGCACUCCGCCUGGGGAGUACGACCGCAAGGUUGAAACUCAAAGGAAUUGACGGGGGCCCGCACAAGCGGUGGAGCAUGUGGUUUAAUUCGAAGCUACGCGAAGAACCUUACCAGGUCUUGACAUCUUCUGCCAGUCUUAGAGAUAAGACGUUCCCUUCGGGGACAGAAUGACAGGUGGUGCAUGGUUGUCGUCAGCUCGUGUCGUGAGAUGUUGGGUUAAGUCCCGCAACGAGCGCAACCCUUAUUAUCAGUUGCCAGCAUUCAGUUGGGCACUCUGGUGAGACUGCCGGUGACAAACCGGAGGAAGGUGGGGAUGACGUCAAAUCAUCAUGCCCCUUAUGACCUGGGCUACACGCGUGCUACAAUGGACGGUACAACGAGUCGCGAAGUCGUGAGGCUAAGCUAAUCUCUUAAAGCCGUUCUCAGUUCGGAUUGUAGGCUGCAACUCGCCUACAUGAAGUUGGAAUCGCUAGUAAUCGCGGAUCAGCAUGCCGCGGUGAAUACGUUCCCGGGCCUUGUACACACCGCCCGUCACACCAUGAGAGUUUGUAACACCCAAAGCCGGUGAGAUAACCUUCGGGAGUCAGCCGUCUAAGGUGGGACAGAUGAUUAGGGUGAAGUCGUAACAAGGUAACCA
Molecule: ribosomal RNA, 744 nt
Filed under: uncultured Lactobacillus sp.
Lineage: Bacteria; Bacillati; Bacillota; Bacilli; Lactobacillales; Lactobacillaceae
Description: bacterial SSU rRNA
Rfam family: Bacterial small subunit ribosomal RNA
Source: RNAcentral